This 453-nucleotide ribosomal RNA is filed under the name uncultured bacterium. RNAcentral describes it as "bacterial SSU rRNA". It matches the Rfam family "Bacterial small subunit ribosomal RNA", at positions 8 to 507 of the family's 1533-position model. The record is from RNAcentral.
AGAGUUUGAUCCUGGCUCAGAACGAACGCUGGCGGCAUGCCUAACACAUGCAAGUCGAACGAAGCCUUCGGGCUUAGUGGCGCACGGGUGCGUAACACGUGGGAAUCUGCCCUUUGGUUCGGAAUAACAGUUAGAAAUGACUGCUAAUACCGGAUAAUGACGUAAGUCCAAAGAUUUAUCGCCGAAGGAUGAGCCCGCGUAGGAUUAGGUAGUUGGUGGGGUAAUGGCCCACCAAGCCGACGAUCCUUAGCUGGUCUGAGAGGAUGAUCAGCCACACUGGGACUGAGACACGGCCCAGACUCCUACGGGAGGCAGCAGUGGGGAAUAUUGGACAAUGGGCGAAAGCCUGAUCCAGCAAUGCCGCGUGAGUGAUGAAGGCCUUAGGGUUGUAAAGCUCUUUUACCAGGGAUGAUAAUGACAGUACCUGGAGAAUAAGCUCCGGCUAACUCCGUG